GAUGAACGCUGGCGGCGUGCCUAAUACAUGCAAGUCGAGCGAACAGACGAGGAGCUUGCUCCUCUGACGUUAGCGGCGGACGGGUGAGUAACACGUGGAUAACCUACCUAUAAGACUGGGAUAACUUCGGGAAACCGGAGCUAAUACCGGAUAAUAUAUUGAACCGCAUGGUUCAAUAGUGAAAGACGGUUUUUCUGUCACUUAUAGAUGGAUCCGCGCCGCAUUAGCUAGUUGGUAAGGUAACGGCUUACCAAGGCAACGAUGCGUAGCCGACCUGAGAGGGGGGCAGCCAACACGGGAGGGGAACAGGGCCCAAGAGGACUGAGGGAGGACGAAGAAGGAAACGGGAGGCAGGGGGGGAAAACAGUGCAGAAAAGGCGGGAGUGGGAAGUAAAGGCGUCGGGUGAGAAAAAACGGUUUAUGGGGAAAAAACAAAUGUGAAAGAAAAAAAAGCGGUAGUGACGGUACAUAAAAAAAAAGCAACGGCUAACUACGUG
This 497-nucleotide ribosomal RNA is filed under the name uncultured bacterium. Its description in RNAcentral is "partial 16S ribosomal RNA". It matches the Rfam family "Bacterial small subunit ribosomal RNA", at positions 28 to 507 of the family's 1533-position model. The record is from RNAcentral.